Rosa rugosa (rugosa rose) is the source of this 632-nucleotide long non-coding RNA. RefSeq lists it as uncharacterized. The record is from RefSeq and is a predicted model, not a curated record. NCBI's taxonomy places the organism in Eukaryota, Viridiplantae, Streptophyta, Magnoliopsida, Rosales, Rosaceae. The transcript is spliced from 3 exons.
CCUCCUUCUUUCUUCUUUUUCUCUUCUUUCUUUCCUUUCCUUGCUGCGAAACCGGAACCCAUUUCCGGCGAAAUCACCGCCACCGUCCGCACCACCGGCCAUUAGAGGAUCCUCUCUUCCUCCUCUUGCAUCUAAGCUUGUUUUGAUCUAUGGAGGAAGAUUUGAAGGUGUUUGAGCGUGUGAACAGUAACGUGAACAGUAACUGUCGGGUUCUUGGUUUUUGUUUGAUUUCUCCGGCCUUUUCUGCUUGAUUUUGGUUGUUGUUGCAGUUUGCAGGCGAAUGAGUUGAGGUCGGGCGUACACGAAAUUGAGGCAUAGUCAGCAGCAUGGCUUCCGCAUCUGCCUUUGAAUUAGGUUUUCCUCAUAUACCUUUCUGUUAGAAUUGCUCUGAUUACCUAUGGGAUUUAUGUUAUUCAAGUUGAGAUAUGUGUUUUGUGAAUUGGAGAUUGAUGUUGAUUUGGGGAGCAGGGUGGCUCCAGGGGCAUAAGGAUGAUUCGAUUGAGAAGUGUAAAUGUUCCCUACAGGUUUGGGUUGCCCAUUUUAGGGGAAGUUCCGCCAAAUUUUUGGUAGAAUUUCUUCUAAGGUGGGCCCCGCAGGGUCACUUCGGAUUUCAGGGUGAAAUCCGGGGCGGG